AGAUUGAACGCUGGCGGCGUGCUUAACACAUGCAAGUCGAGCGGUAACGCGGGAGCAAUCCUGGCGACGAGCGGCGAACGGGUGAGUAAUGCUUGGGAAUCUGCCCAUUAGUGGGGAACAACCAGCCGAAAGGUUGGCUAAUACCGCAUACGCCCUACGGGGGAAAGCGGGGGAUCGAAAGACCUCGCGCUAAUGGAUGAGCCCAAGUCGGAUUAGCUUGUUGGUAGGGUAACGGCCUACCAAGGCGACAAUCCGUAGCUGGUCUGAGAGGACGACCAGCCACACUGGGACUGAGACACGGCCCAGACUCCUACGGGAGGCAGCAGUGGGGGAAUAUUGGACAAUGGGGGCAACCCUGAUCCAGCGACGCCGCGUGUGUGAAGAAGGCCUGCGGGUUGUAAAGCACUUUUAGUGGGGAUUGAAAAGCUCAGGGUUAACACCUCUGGGUCUUGACCUAACCACAGAAAAAGCACCGGCUAACUCUGUGCCAGCAGCCGCGGU
This 501-nucleotide ribosomal RNA is filed under the name uncultured bacterium. RNAcentral's name for it is "SSU rRNA". It matches the Rfam family "Bacterial small subunit ribosomal RNA", at positions 26 to 521 of the family's 1533-position model. The record is from RNAcentral.